CUUGUACACACCGCCCGUCACACCAUGGGAGCGGGUUCUGCCAGAAGUAGUUAGCCUACCCGCAAGGAGGGCGAUUACCACGGCAGGGUUCGUGACUGGGGUG
RNAcentral lists this ribosomal RNA (103 nucleotides) under uncultured bacterium. RNAcentral describes it as "partial 16S ribosomal RNA". It matches the Rfam family "Bacterial small subunit ribosomal RNA", at positions 1380 to 1482 of the family's 1533-position model. The record is from RNAcentral.